CGUGCCCUAAGCGGGCUUUUACUGUUAAGAGUAACACGUGAGCAACCUGCCCCGAAGUCCGGGUUAACACCGGGAAACCGGUGCUAAUACCGGAUGCCCCCACCGGGUCACCUGGUUUGGUGAGGAAAGAUUUAUCGCUUCGGGAGGGGCUCGCGGCCUAUCAGCUUGUUGGUGGGGUAACGGCCCACCAAGGCUUCGACGGGUAGCUGGUCUGAGAGGACGACCAGCCACACUGGGACUGAGACACGGCCCAAACUCCUACGGGAGGCAGCAGUGGGGAAUCAUGCGCAAUGGGCGAAAGCCUGACGCAGCAACGCCGCGUGGGGGAUGAAGGCCUUCGGGUUGUAAACCCCUUUCAGCAGGAACGAAAUUGACGGUACCUGCAGAAGAAGCCCCGGCCAACUACGUGCCAGCAGCCGC
RNAcentral lists this ribosomal RNA (420 nucleotides) under uncultured Ferrithrix sp. RNAcentral describes it as "bacterial SSU rRNA". It matches the Rfam family "Bacterial small subunit ribosomal RNA", at positions 81 to 518 of the family's 1533-position model. Lineage: Bacteria; Bacillati; Actinomycetota; Acidimicrobiia; Acidimicrobiales; Acidimicrobiaceae. The record is from RNAcentral.